GAUGAACGCCGGCGGCGUGCCUAAUACAUGCAAGUCGAGCGAACAGACGAGGAGCUUGCUCCUCUGACGUUAGCGGCGGACGGGUGAGUAACACGUGGAUAACCUACCUAUAAGACUGGGAUAACUUCGGGAAACCGGAGCUAAAACCGGAUAAUAUAUUGAACCGCAUGGUUCAAUAGUGAAAGACGGUUUUGCUGUCACUUAUAGAUGGAUCCGCGCCGCAUUAGCUAGUUGGUAAGGUAACGGCUUACCAAGGCAACGAUGCGUAGCCGACCUGAGAGGGUGAUCGGCCACACUGGAACUGAGACACGGUCCAGACUCCUACGGGAGGCAGCAGUAGGGAAUCUUCCGCAAUGGGCGAAAGCUUGACGGAGCAACGCCGCGUGAGUGAUGAAGGUCUUCGGAUCGUAAAACUCUGUUAUUAGGGAAGAACAAAUGUGUAAGUAACUAUGCACGUCUUGACGGUACCUAAUCAGAAAGCCACGGCUAACUACGUG
RNAcentral lists this ribosomal RNA (497 nucleotides) under uncultured bacterium. RNAcentral describes it as "partial 16S ribosomal RNA". It matches the Rfam family "Bacterial small subunit ribosomal RNA", at positions 28 to 507 of the family's 1533-position model. The record is from RNAcentral.